UGUUUCCCCCAGUGAUGGAAAUCCUGUCCAGAAAUCCAUCCAAAGGCAUCUUCUCUUCACCACAGACCUGUAACCUGGAGGCCACAUUGGUCACUGGCAGAUGUGGGGAUGAAGGCUGUUUUAGGAGUUUCAGAAAUGUGAAUGAAAAGAGUUAUCUUCCCUAGCUGUGCGAGAGCAGUUCCUGUCAAGUUCAGACUCAGCUGAAACCAUUGAGAGACUUGUGUGAUG
RNAcentral lists this long non-coding RNA (228 nucleotides) under Gallus gallus (chicken). The record is from RNAcentral. Lineage: Eukaryota; Metazoa; Chordata; Aves; Galliformes; Phasianidae.